UCCGGGGUCCUGCGCGAUGGGACGCCGUGAACCAUGUCAGGCGGGGAACCGAGCAGCAUUAAGCGGACUGUGCCAUGUGAUGCAGUCAAGCCUUUGGCU
RNAcentral lists this signal recognition particle RNA (99 nucleotides) under Oscillospiraceae bacterium. RNAcentral describes it as "signal recognition particle sRNA small type". It matches the Rfam family "Bacterial small signal recognition particle RNA". Rfam says of the family: The signal recognition particle (SRP) is a universally conserved ribonucleoprotein involved in the co-translational targeting of proteins to membranes. Archaeal SRP consists of a 7S RNA and homologues of the eukaryotic SRP19 and SRP54 proteins. Lineage: Bacteria; Bacillati; Bacillota; Clostridia; Eubacteriales; Oscillospiraceae. The record is from RNAcentral.